GACGAACGCUGGCGGCGUGCUUAACACAUGCAAGUCGAACGGAAAGGCCCUGCUUGCCGGGUACUCGAGUGGCGAACGGGUGAGUAACACGUGGGUGAUCUGCCCUGCACUUCGGGAUAAGCCUGGGAAACUGGGUCUAAUACCGGAUAGGAGCCAUUUUUAGUGUGAUGGUUGGAAAGUUUUUUCGGUGUAGGAUGAGCUCGCGGCCUAUCAGCUUGUUGGUGGGGUAAUGGCCUACCAAGGCGGCGACGGGUAGCCGGCCUGAGAGGGUGGACGGCCACAUUGGGACUGAGAUACGGCCCAGACUCCUACGGGAGGCAGCAGUGGGGAAUAUUGCACAAUGGGCGCAAGCCUGAUGCAGCGACGCCGCGUGGGGGAUAACGGCCUUCGGGUUGUAAACUCCUUUCGCUAGGGACGAAGCUUUUUGUGACGGUACCUAGAUAAGAAGCACCGGCUAACUACGUG
Molecule: ribosomal RNA, 465 nt
Filed under: uncultured bacterium
Lineage: Bacteria
Description: partial 16S ribosomal RNA
Rfam family: Bacterial small subunit ribosomal RNA
Source: RNAcentral